GGGGGAGUACUUUUAAAGGACUUAAAUCCUUUUUAAUUUACCUAUUUUAUAGGGAGCAUAAACUUUAGAUGAUUUUUUGAAAAGAGGGGGUGAAACUUUUGAUUGAGAACUUUUGUGAUAACUGGAGGAUAUGAGUCUUGCCCAGAAAGCUAACUUUGAUCAAAUUUAUGAGUGGCAGCAAGCUCAUGAAGAUUAUAUGGCUGAUCAAUUUCUUGACAUUGAUGUUCAUCUAGGAAAUAUUGCAAAUCACCUCAACCUUCAACCACCCGAGAGAUUUUGAAGUCCUGAAUUUUUGAAUUAGGAUUCUAUGUUUGUGUGCUUUGUUGAUUGGUUGUUGUUCUUAUCUCUAUGUUAUAUUUCUGCACUUUUAUUACUCUUUAUGUAAUCCUUCCUUUUAUGAGUAAACUGAUCUCUUGUCUUUAUGCAUACAUUGUUUAAUUGAGAGGGAGAUCAUAUUUGGGGGGAGAUUUUUAAUUUAAUCUUUUUGCUUAUGAUAAAAAAGGGCGAGAAGAAAACUAUAAGGGGAGAAGUAUUGAUACAGGUACUGCUAACUUUGUUGUUGUCUGUUAGCUUGUAUGUGUUGCAGGUAAACUAGAGUUGCUUUUAAAAGUGAAUUUUUGAUCAUCAUAAAAAAGGGGGAGAUUGUUACCAAUAAGGAGUAUUGGUAAAUCCUGAAGAAUUGUUUUGAUGAUGCUGCAAAAAGUGUUAUUUGAAGAGAACAUUAGAAUUAUUUAAAAAGCAACUUGUAGAAUUUGGAUGUAGUAGGAAAAUCUUAAACCUUGUAUUUUUCAUUAGAAUAAUCGAUUAUGGAUAAGCUAUAAUCGAUUAUCACUUGCAUUUGUACUAGAAUAAUCGAUUAUCAUGAAGCAAUAAUCGAUUAUCACAAGUCAUACUUGAAUAAUCGAUUAUCACUUGAUACAAUCGAUUAUCACUUUUUGAAAAACCUGUAAGGACUUGAAUAAUCGAUUAUCACUUACAAUAAUCGAUUAUUUGUGGCAGUUGGGAGAUGACCUUUCAGUUUCUGACCCUGGGCUUAUAAAUAGGUGCUUUGAGAACUUCAGAAAGUAACAUUGUGAACUUAGGUCUUUUGUAGAAUACAGUUUGUUUGAGGAAGUUCUCAAAAGCUAGUUUUGUUCCCUUGCCUGGUCUCGUGAAUACGAGAAGCUCGCGUUUCGUGUGUCGAUAGUCGAAGCGGUUCUCUUCGAGUUGGCAAGGUGCUCUGCCUGGUCUCGUGAAUAGGAGAAGCUCGCGUUUCGUNUGUCGAAAGUCGGAGCGGUUCUCUUCGAGUUGGCAGAGUGUUUGCUUCUGGUUCGUGUGUCGAAGGAAGCACUUCCAAUUCGUUUGUCAAAGGAAGUUACUCACUGCAUUCUUCCAGUUCGUUUGUCGAAGGAAGGUGUUUUCUAUCCCUUACUCAUUUCAUUAUCUUGUAAUGUGUACAACUAUAUUUUUAGUGAAAAUAGUUAAUCACUUUUUAUAGUGAUUAACAACUGGACGUAGAAUCUUUUGAUUCGAACCAGUAUAAAAAUCAUUUGUGUGAUUUUUCUCUUCCCUACACUCCUUAAUCUUUUAGCACUCCAACUGUUCGAUAAAAGUUUUACAAGAAAUUUAAAACUGAUGAAGGAACUAUUUUUGUGACCGAACACGCUUAUACGCUACUCUUAGUUUAAUUCCGUUGCGUCACACUCUAUCUUCGAACUAUACCCUUCGAUUUCUUUUAAUUUUGUUCUUACUUUUAAAAACCCUUUUGUUUUUAUAAACCUUUUUAAUAGGUAUAAGCAUUUCAUUAUUAUUUCUAGUUGCAACUUCAAGCAGAUUUUCCUUUCUGGUUUUGUGUGUGCAGCUAUAUUUGGUUUUGGGUUAGAGAGGAGAUUUAUAUUUUUGCGUCGUGCUUCUAUAAAUUCCUUGUUGUAAAAACCGCAACCAUUAUAGUGCAUUUGCUUCCUGGGUUGGAAGGACACUAGAUGUAGGCAUUAUUGGCCGAACCAGUAUAAAAACCAGUGUUUGAUUUUCUCUAUCCCUGAAUUCUAUAUUUCCAGUCGACUAUAUUCGUUUAGCAGUCAACUGCGUUUUUUCGCUGCAUUGAAUUUUCAUUACUUGCAUUUCAAGAAAAGAUCAAAAUCUUUGAAUUUUCAUACCAAGACUGCGAAAAGAUUUUGAUUUUCAACUAACACCAAUUCACCCCCCUCUUGGUGUAAAACGAAGCCUACGUGUUUCAUUACAAUUGGCACCAGAGCUGGUUUUUAUAAGAUAUUUGAAAAUUCAGUCAACUCUGUUUUUAUCCUAUUCGACUGUAAAACCUGGGGAUGAAUUUAAAUUUUCAAACUUUUGGUGAAGGUGCUUCAACAAACAGACCACCUCUGUUUGCUGGUGAAAAUGACCCUUUUGGAAAAUUCGCAUGCAGAUCUUUCUUGAAUCGUAAGAUAAAGGAAUUUUGGAUGCCACUUUGAUUGAUCCAUAUGUGCCUACAAAAAUUGUUAAUAGUGAAACUAUUUUGAAACCUUUUACUGAGUGGACUGCUGAUGAAAAUAGAAAAGCUCAGUAUGAUGUUAAAGCUAGAAAUAUCAUUGCCUCUGCACUAACUAUUGGUGAAUUUUUUAGGAUAUCCCAAUGCAAGUCUGCAAAGGAAAUGUGGGAUGUUCUAGAGGUAACACAUGAAGGCACAGAUGAAGUAAAGAGACCCAGGAAGAAUUCGUUGAUACAAGAGUAUGAAUUGUUCAGAAUGGAAGCUGAUGAAAGCAUCUAUGAUGUUCAGAAACGAUUCACUCACAUUGUAAAUCACUUGAUGGCUCUUGGCAAAGCCUUUGAUAAAUAAGAGAUCAACAUCAAGAUUUUGAAAAGCUUGAACAGGAAUUGGCAACCAAAAGUCACUACAAUCUUUGAAUCCAAAGAUCUUAAAACUAUGAAUAUGGCUACCUUGUUUGACAAGCUACGGGAACAUGAGUUAGAACUUGGUAGACUGAAGGAUGAAGAGGAGAUUGAAGAAAAGAAGUCCAUAACUCUAAAGGCUGCAAGCAAGAACAUCACAGAAACAGAGAUGGACGACAAAGAAUUGAUGACCUUGAUGGUAAGAAAGUUUAGUCGACUUAUGCAAGAUGAUAGUCAAUUGUCUAACUAUGCAGGUCAAAGCAAAAAGAAGAGCUUCAACACAAAUGUUGUCCAGUGCUAUGAAUGUGGAAAAGAAGGCCACAUCAAGCCUAACUGUCCUGAUUUACAACCAAAGCAGAAAGGAAAUAAAAGAAUCCCUCAAGGCAGAAAUAUGAGAAGAAAAAGAGCCUACAUUGCUUGGGAAAACUCAGAUCCUGAGAAAUCAAGUGAUGAAGAUUCUGAUCAAGAAGAGGAAUCGAAUUUGUGCUAUAUGACAGGUGUAACAUGGGAUGACUAUGACAGUGAUGCAGACAUAUCAAAUGAACCAGUAGAAGUCAAAUAUGAUCUGCUUCAAGAUGCAUUCAAAGAGUUACAUGUUGAAGCCAUGCGACUGCAAUACAAGGUAAAUUGCCUGUGCUCUGAAAGAAGAGACUUUGAAAAUAGAAUUGAUAACCUUAUUGCAGAGAAUGAAAAAUUGGAAAAAGAAUUGAAUGAAGCUUUGUUAUCUGCUAGAAAUAUUGAAAUUAAAAUUGUUACUGUUGAAAAAGCUUGUGAAAAUUGUCCUACAAACAUUGAAAAGAUAAAUUACUUGACUAGCAAGCUAGCUAAGUUUACUCAAGCUAAUGACAAUUUAGAUGUUGUAUUAAAUUCAUCUAGCAGAAUUAAAAAUACACAUGGAAUUGGAUACAAAGCUUACUUUAACAGAACCAAUGCUAGGAAACUUAAUGAAUUAAGAAAACCUGCUAGAAAUACAUGUUUUUAUUGCAAUUGUGUUGGUCAUACUGUUAGAAAUUGUUAUUAUAGAAAUGUUGUUGUUCCUCAAGGAUUAUGUGUGUGGAUACCAAAGGAACAUGUAACAAGAACGAACAAUUAAGGACCCAAAGUCAAAUGGGUACCAGCAACCAAAACUUAAUUGUUUUACAGGAUAUGCAGCUGAUGCAGAAUUGUUCUCAAGGAUGAAUUAACUAUGGAACAUAUCAAACACCUUGAGUGUCUACAACUGGUAAAUCUGUAUCUAUCUGUUGCAUCAUGCAUAUACUGAUUAAUUGUUGCUGAAUGAUUGUUUGUGUAGUGUGCUUAAUUGUUUGUAUGAUUGAAUUUGAUUAAAAAUGAUUUUUAUGAGUCCUAGUCGACUUCAUCUUUAAUUCAAUCGACUGAGUCAUUUGAUUGUGUGAAAAACUGUUUUUUAAACGUUAAAAAUUUGAAUCAAGGGUCUUAUGAAACACUUUAAAUGAUCACAUUGCUCAAAAAACCCUGUACUGUGUCUAUUACUGUAUGAGCAAAUUUCUCUAAUAAUCCUUAGACCAAGAAGGUGUGUUCUGAAGAGUUGUGAUCUCAAGAUGGCUUCUUCAAAUCAAAGCUCAAAUAAAGGAAAAGGAAUGUAAAUCGCUUUGUCAAGAAAAUAUGAUCCCUCAGGAUGGAUUAGUGACGAUGAGUCAAGAAGCAAACUUCUUUUAAACCCAUAAAAAACGAUGGCUUAUCCAUACUACAUCAAAUUUAGAAAGUUCAGCCAAGAGGGAUUCGAUUUUCCUGAAUUACUGGAGUUUCAAGAUCUCUAUAGUCUCGUCCAAAUGAAAGGUGCAUGGUAUCCUGACUUGGUGGAGGUAUUUUAUCACAAUCUUAAAUUUGAAAAUGGCAUCAUGAGGUCUAGAGUAAAGGGUGUAAACAUUGAGGUAGAUGAUUUCAUCUGGACAUUGUUCACUAGGCUUGAAGCAAAAGGUGCACUCUCACAUUUGCCCACAUCUGAACUGAAUACACACUUAAGUAAAAGGGAAUUGUACUCAAAUUGGAGAAGAUAUCCUGAAGAUGUAUCUCUGAUGAAUCAAUAUUUUAUACUAUUCACUUAGCUUUUCGCACCAUAUUGUGUUAGUGAAAUGUGUUUAAUUCUCCAUUUUUAUCUCAUUUUCAAUAUUUGGGUUGAAUUUCAAGACUAAAUCUUAUCUUGAUUAAUUUGAAUUAUUUGGGAUUAAUUAUUUCAAUCAUUUUAUGCAGGACAAUCACUGUUGAAAGGUUGAGAAAGAGUCCAUUGAAGAUGGCCAGUCCUGACCGAACAGUCUGCAGAAGGCUUGACCAAACGGUCUGCAGAAGGCUUGACCGAACGGUCUUGAUGAAGUCUGUACCGAUCACCAGUUCCUGAGCCCGUAACGCAUUACUGAACUGAAUGACCAGUUGAUGACUAAUGUCGGAUGGUCUUGGAAAAUGUGCGAGUGAGGACAAAGCACAUUGGAAAGCCUCGUGUUGAUCUGUGGGGGCAGUCAAUAUUCCCUGUAAGUUGUCGGGGCGUUACAUCAAGCAAGUUUCUAAGUGAAAAAGGGUGCUUUUAGUAUCAAAAUUACAUAACAAAUAACAAUGUUUCAACCCGUUAUCACAACCCCAAACUUAGAACUUUGCUUGUCCUCAAGCAAAAAAAAUGCAACUCAGCUUUUCAGAACAAUCACUACAAUGACUUAACCUUUUUUAGAAACCUUUUCAAGACAAGGAAUCACUUUUAUCAAUUUCAGCAUAAGAUUUCAGUCAAGAUGUGCAGAUGCUUCAAUUCAAUCAUGCUUAAUGUGAUGCAUUUUCAACAGGUGCUAUCCUUAAGAGUGAUCAAUCAACCAAGCAGAGAUGCAAUUAGAAAUUCAGAGAACUAUUCCUCACCAGGAAAGGUGUUUCACUCAAGCACUCAAAAAUAUAUCUCUCAAAUUCAAAAGUGUCUCACUCAACUCACAAGUGUAUGGUGUGGUGUUUGCUCUCUGCUAUCACAAUGUCAGAAAAAUUAAUUUUACCUUUCAUUUAACCACAAUCAAAUAUACUCACAAGCAGGUUAUCAUCACAAGGGCUUUUCAUGGCUUGUAAUUUGGCUGGGCUAAGAAGGAAAUUGGUUUUUCUGGUUAGCAAAGUUCCUUGAGUCAAGAGAGACAUUUAUGAAUUCAUCUUUCAAGAACAACUCUCUUUUCUUUUUCCCAUCCUUCCCUUGUAGUGAGCUUUUUCUUUUUCUUUUUCUCACUUUUUCUUUUUCUUUUGCCUUUUUCUUGCUUUUUCUUUUGAUUGCUCACUGUCUAGAGAUGUGGGUUGUUUCCUGGUAACCCCAAACUUGAACCUUUAUCAGUACCUCAUCAAAUGUUCUCAACUUAACUCAAGGUAAAGAAUUUUCAAAAAGGUUUUUCAAGACAUACAUAAGGCUCAAGGUUCAAAGGUUAGAACAAAUUGUUCUCUUUUCAAUGGGCAACAAUAUUUUGAAGGCAAAAAGAAUAAGGGAUAACAAAAGAUGGCCUUGAUCAUAUGGAUCCUGCAAGCAAGUAGUUCAAUCACAGAAAAUUUGGGCAAAAUCCUUCAUGAUUCCAUAGUAAUAACAAACAACUCUGAAGCUCAAAACUCACACAGGUAAACUCACAAGUUCUCAAAUUUAGAAAAACAUCUUGCUCAGUAUCUCAGUAAAACUUUAUCUAAAGGACAUGUCUCACAAAUUGGGAUUCAUCACUUAUAGCACAUCAUGCAUCAUCUCAACCUCAAUCAAACACUAGAAUCUCAUAAAGCAAAACCCAUCACACAAAACAGGCACAGUUGAAUCAAAACAAUUCAGUUCAUUAAAGCAGAGCACAAUAAAAACAAAAUAAAAUAAAACAAAAACAAAAAUUGAAAAUUAAAAAGUAAAAGUUCAGAGCACUGGGUUGCCUCCCAGCAAGCGCUUCUUUAACGUCACUAGCUUGACCCAGUCUCCAUCAUAGCAUCCAUCAGUAGAUGCUGUUAGUAGCAUCUAUCAGUAGAUGUCUGAUCACAUAGCAUCCAUCAGUAGAUGCUAAUCUUCCAUGGUAUCCCUCAGUAGACACCAACCUUUCUUAUCUUCAUUGGCACCCAUCAGUAGAUGCCUAAUCACCUAACAUCCAUUAGUAGAUGUCUAGUCACCAUCCCCUUCCAUAGCAGCAUCCAUCAGUAGAUGCUCUCUCAAACUCUUCAGCAUCCAUCAGUAGAUUGUUAAAUCCCUAGCAAGUGUACUAGAUUGUUCUCAAGUAUAUAAAAUGGGUAAGUCCAAGUAUCGUUUCCCAAAGGACUCUUAGGCUUUACUUUUCAUGUAAACCAAUCGCAUAAGACUUGAGAAGAAAUUAAUUUUGGGUUUUGAAUGCAAAAACAAAAGUAAACAUGCAAAUGUAGUGAAUCAAUUGGCUAAAGAAACUAUGGAUGAAUGGAGUUGUUGGGGUUUACAAUUUCAUCUUAUCCACCUUCUUAUAUCUACUUUUCUUAUCUAAUUCGCUUAUUUAUCAUAUUGUCAUGCAAACUUUCUUGGUCUACCCUUAACCUAAUUCCUUGGCGAAAAGAGCCUAUUACUAAUUACUGGCUUGUUAUCCCUAGCCUCCCCUAACAAUUAAUAAUGCAUGAUAAACAAAAGCAAAAUACAAUUGAUCGUCCUACCCCUAUUCCUAGGCGGUAUUAGCAUAAUCAAGGAAUUCCCCCCAGUUCAUGACAUUACUGUAUGUUCCCGUAUCAAUAAACACAAACAACAUUUACCGAAUGAGUUAAGCGAUAAAAGCAUUAAGCGAAGGUAAAGAACCAAACAAUUGAUAAAGAUAAGAAUAUGCAAGCAUAUUAAGAAGAUAAAAAUUUUGAUAUAAGAGAGUUUCAAAAGAUUACAUUGUUCUCCAACAACCUAGGGUUUAGUUCACCACAAUCAUGGUGAAUCUAGAUGAAAUAUAAUGGAAGAAUGGAAGAAAUAACCCUAAACUUGGUAGAUUGGAGCCUAACCAUCCAAGGAACCUCCUCCAAGGUGUGUGGAAUAGCUUUGACGUUUCUCUCUGCCAAAAGAUUAUAUUUUGAUUCGCACUGGGUCUAUAUAUAAGCCAAAAAGAUAACAAAAAGAUUACAGAAUCUAAGCUAAUAAAAACAGACAACUGCCCAAGCGCCUAAGUAAACCGCUCAGCGGUUUCCCCUUUAGCCGUUGGACCGCUCUGACACUCAGCGGUCCAUUCUAAGCUAAUAAAAACAGACAACCGCCCUUGAUCGCUCUAGACGCUCAACGGUCCAUUCUGGCGCUCAGCGGUUCACUUGACCCUUCUUUUCAUCCUUUUUCUUCCUCUUUCACGGGUCUAAGUCCACCUUACUUCACUUCCAUCUUCAAUUCUCCUUAAAACCCUGCAAAACAAGCAUAAUAUCUCUAGAACCAACUUUUUACUCUCUCAUGACUCAAUUAAGUGUUUUACUUGAUUUUAAAAUCAUUCUAAGUCAUAAAGGGUGUGUUUUGAUAUCAAAUUUAAGUAUGAAAAUAACGGUUUUUAGACCGUUAUCAUAGAUGCGAGUCUUUCUCAUCAACAUCCUCUAGUAGAUGUUAUUCUUUUUCUUCUUCAUCAACAUCCAUCAGUAGACGUUGUCAGUACUGCCGUCAGAAGCAACGUAUAACCUAAAAAAAAAACUCAAACACACAAUAAAACCAAAUCCAAACCACACAAAUAAUAAAAAUAAAAAAAAAAAUAAAAUAAAAUAAAAUCAAAUCAAAUCAAAUAAUAUAAAAUAAAAUCAAAUCAAAUAACAUCAAAUCAAAUAAAAUGGAAUAAAAUAAAAUGAAAUAAAAUAAAAUCAAAUCAAAUUAGAUCAAAUAAAAAAAAUAAAAAAAAAAUUAGGAACUCGAUUCAAGAUAUUUUUUUCUUUUUGUUGAAUUUUUUAGGAACUUAAUAUAACCUGGAACAUGUUGCAAUGUCUCAAUCAUAGGAACUUUAAUCUCCAAUUUCUUGAAGAUUUCCAUGAAACGCUUAAAUUGUUUCUCCUUCUUCUUCCUAUGAUCCUUCUUUGGGUGAGGAAGGGGUUUUUCAUAUGAUUCUUUCUUUUUGCUUUCAUCCUUCCCCUCUCUCUUUUUCUCCUUGCAACACUCUUUAGGGCACAAAGGACUUUUCUCAAUUUUUUUCUUUUCUUUCUAAACCCCUUCUUUUUCUUCCUCUACAUCAUUUUCUUUUUCACUCAAAAAUUCUUUUUCUUUUCUCUCAUCUUCUUCCUUUUCUACCUCUUUCUCUUUCUCACUCAAACUUUAUUCUUCUUCUCUCUCUAUUUUUAUUUCAUCCUUUUUCUCUUCUUCUUGCUCUUCAUCGCUCAAACUCUCUUCUUCUUUUCCCUCUAUUUUUCUCUCAUCCUCUCUCUCUUUUCUUCUUUUUCUCUUUCCUCAUCUAGAACUUUGUCACUUCUAGUAGCAACUGCCUUGCAAUCCUUUCGAGGCCCCUUGUCGUUUUUGAUAUCAUUCAGCCUCUGACUUAUGAACCUGCAAUGUGCCUCUAUAUUUUGUGAUGAGGCCUGAAUGCUUUUCUGAAAUGAGAGAGAUUCGUUCAGGAAUUGUUGGAGAGUCUCUUCAAGCUUUGUAGUGCUGCUGGCUUGUGGUGGUCUAUUAAAUAGUCCACCUGCUUGCUAAAAUUGAGAUUGGUUUUUGCUUGAGUGAGAUCCCCACCAGUGGUUGAAAUUUCCUUGAACUGCCUCCAUCCUACACAAAAAUUCUUAGAGAGAUUGUUAGUAUAAAAAAAUAGAAAUUUGGGAAUUGAAAAAUAAAAAUACAAAUGGAAAAUUAAAAUUGAUGGAUUAAAAUAAAUUAAAAAUAAAAUAAAAUAAAGUCAAAAUCAAUCAAGAUUCACACAAAUAGAAUAGCUUAAACCGUGAGUCCCCGGUAAUGACGUCAAAAACUUGUUGGGGCAAAUCGACAAGUUUAGCGAGUCGCAUAAGUAAUAUAAAAUGGUAAGACCAAGAAUCAUAUACCAGAGCACUCACGGCGCUGAACAGUUGUGUGAAAACAAGAUUAAUUAAGACUUAAAAAUAAAAGAGAUCAUGGGUUGUUUUGCAAAAAUAAUAAAAUAAAAUAAAAUAAAAUAAAAUAAAGUCAAAAUCAAUCAAGAUUCACACAAAUAGAAUAGCUUAAACCGUGAGUCUCCGGUAACGACGUCAAAAACUUGUUGGGGAAAAUCGGCAAGUUUACCGAGUCGCACAAGUAAUAUAAAAUGGUAAGACCAAGAAUCAUAUACCAGAGCACUCGCGGCGCUGAACAGUUGUGUGAAAACAAGAUUAAUUAAGACUUAAAAAUAAAAGAAAUCAUGGGUUGUUUUGCAAAAAUUGAUCAGUGGCAAAAGAGCACAAACAUGAAUGGAGGUUGAUUAAUAUGAGAUGAGUAUGUUGUUGGGGUUAGAUUUCACCAAGUUCCCUCUCAUGUAUAUAAGAAUUCUUCUUUAUUCAUUAAUGCCAACGUCCCUCACUAAACCACUUAAACCCGAUCCCUCGGUAAAUAUGCGUGUCCCUAAUUACCAGUUCAUACAAUUCCUAGCAUUCCUGGUAAAAAGAUGUGAAGAUCAAGAGGUUAAGACGACUAAGACUCAUACCCUAAUCCCUGAGUAAUAUAACCCUUAGGAGUAAUUCAACAAGGACCUAAAUUGAAGGGAACCUCCCGGCACUCAUGCAACUCACAGAUAAUGCUAUUGUAUAAGCAAGAAUAAAACAAAUGAAUUACUCUAACAAUUAAUGAAAAAGCAUAAAGAAUUAAGAAUCAAUUCAAAUACAUGAAAGUUUACAAGGUUACAUCAUUUCCCAACAAUAAAUAGAAAUUAGUUCCCCAUAGACAUGGGGAACCUAUGAAUAAUGGAAGAAAAGAAGAAGAAUGGGAAGCCUAAGAAUUGGCUAGGAGUGUAUUGCUAUGCUAUCUUCUACCAGGGAUGCAAAACAUAGAGCCCUAGGGUCCUUUAAAUAGUUUUAGGCGCAUCCCAAAGUGCGGCCCGGUCCGAAAGAAUCAAAACAAAGUAGAAACAAGGCCUGAUCCAGGUCAUGUAUCGCCUAGGCGUCGUAGGGAGCUCGCUUGGGCAAGAUUUGAGGAGCAUGUUGGGCUUGGGCGUCAGAUUUGGACGCCCAAGCUUCGAGCGUCCGUCGCGCUGUUUUCUCGUUCCUAUCGCCUGGGCUUUGGUUUUUCCCUCUUCUUGGUGCCUUUUUGACCCCUUUUGAGCUCUAUCUUCUAUACUUUUCACUUCUUCUUCCAAUAUUCCUUCAAUCUUUGCCAAAACAAUGGGGAUUUGUUAGAAAACUGUUGAAAUUAACCUCAACUCUCUUAUUCACACAAUUUAUUGAAAACACAUGAGUUCAAGCAAGUUUCUAAGUGAAAAAGGGUGCUUUUAGUAUCAGAAUUACAUAGCAAAUAACGGUGUUUCAACCCGUUAUCAACACAUAAGAAACGUCUAAGAAACGCAAGAUUCCAGCUUUCUAAUCUAUUCAGAAGGUUUCAGUUGAAUCUUUUUCAUCAAACUCCUCUGUUUUUGAAUUCAGAUUUUCCUUCUGCAGAAGUGUGAGUCUUUCUAUUUUAUCAUGCAUAAUCCUUAUCUUUCAGUUGAAUCUAUGUUUGAAUUUAGAUUUUCCUUCCAGCAACAUAUUUCUCAAAAUUUGAUUCCGGAAAGAAACUUGUUCCUUUGAUUUUCAACUUCGAUGACUUUCUUGAAGAGCUUUCAGAGAAAUGUUCUCCCAUAAAUCUCCAUCUAUUUAUGGUUUUUACCAAUCCGAGAGACAUAAGUGAGUCUCUGUCAAAAACAUUGGAGGAAGUCCAGAUAUGUUUCUGUUCAUUACUGACAUCAACUCCUAAAAGCACCAAGAUUUUGCUAAUGAGACAUCCGUAGGGUAGACACAGUGACCUCCUCAGUGCAACAUACUCCAUAUGGUCUUUUAUCACUUACAGCCAGUUUGUUGGAAUAUUAUUUUUGAUGGCAUGCAACAAAUAUAUAUGCUCUGCAGCCAGUUUCUGUAGGGCAAGAUGACAUUUUCCAAAAGAUGAGUGAGAAUCUUUUCUUCUUUCAAUAACCCUUCAUUUGCAAAGAUGCAUUUUGUUGAAUAUACCCCUGGAAAUCUCAACCAAUCUUGAUAAACCCAUUUCUUGCACAACACGCUAUUUAUUUCAGUUGUAGAUAGGUGAGCAAAAGCACCUUUAGUGGGUAAGUUUGACACCACGUUCCAAAAGAAAUCAUUUAGAUGAAUAUCAAUGCCUUUCACCCUUGAAACAAUGUCACCAUUUUCAACUUUCAAGUUAUGAUAGAAAACUUUGAGAAGGUUGGGAUUCCAGUUUCCCUUCAUUUGAACGAAGUCAGAUAAUCCUUGUCUCUCUAGCCAGUAAGUAAAUAUGAAUACGUCCUGGUUGAUGCUCAUUGGUUUAACAAUGGUUUUGAAGGAGCUACAUACAAAGCUUUGACGAUUUUCUUCAUCACUUAUCCAACCCAUUGGAUCAGGUUUCCUAAUUAUGCGGGAUCACACUUCUCUUUCUUCAUUACCAGCACAACUUGAGGAUUCCAAUGAUGAGAUUCUUGAAAACCUUCCUUUCAGGAUUAGAGAGAUUUCAAGAAACAGAAUUCAAAAGAAAUGUUUGAACCGCAAAGACAAAACGAAAGGUGCUAAGUGAUUAUUACAAUAAGACUAGGUGCACUGUAUUAUGAACAAUUACACGAACCAAAGAUCGGUUAAGUUGAUUUGACAUAAGGUUGACCGUUUACCAUCACAUUUUUUAUAUGAAGUAGUGUUUAGGGACACAUGCAAAAAGUAGACAAAUGUAUUCGAAUGGAAGUCGACUAAGAAUUAAGAAAUUUAUUUUCAAACAGUUCAAUCAAUAAAACAAGUAAGUAUUCAGCACAGACAAUCAUACAACAACAAUCAAUCAAUAUAAGCAUGAUGCAGCAGAUAAAUACAAUUUUACCAGUUGUAGAUUCUCAAGAUAUUUGAUGUAUUCCAUAGUUGAUUCAUCCUUGAGAUCAUUCUGCAUUAGCUGUGUAUCAUGUAAAACAACUAAGUUUUGGUUGCUGCUACCCAUUUGACUUUGGGUCCAUGAUUGUUAAUCCUUGUUACAUGUUCCUUUGGUAUCCACACACAUAAUCCUUUAGGAACAACAACAUUUCUGUAAUAACAAUUUCUAACAGUGUGACCAACACAAUUACAAUAGAAGCAUGCAUUUUUAGCAGGUUUACUUAAAUCAGUAAAUUUCCUAGCAUUGGCUCUGUUAGAUUGAGCUUUGUAAUCAAUUCCUUGUCUAUAAAUUACUAUGUGAGAAGAUUUUAAAACAACAUUCAAAUUGUCUCUAUCUUGAGUAAACUUAGCUGGCGUGCUAGUCAAGUAACUUAUUUUUUCAAUAUCAGUAGGACAAUUUUCACAACCUUUUUCUACUAUAACAGUUUUAAUUUCAACAUUCUUAGCAGAUAACAAAGCUUCACUUAACUCUUUUUCUAAUUUCUCAUUAUCAGCAACAAGGUUAUUAAUUCUAUAUUCAUAGUCUCUUCUUUCAGAGUUCAGUCAAUUAACCUUUUAUUCCAGUCGCAUUGUUUCAGCAUGCAGUUUUCUUAAUGUCUCUAUCAGUUGCUGAUAUUUUGUCUUCUAUAGUCAGCUUCUCAAAUUCAUCAUCAUUGUCACUUUCAAUUCUUGAUGUUCCAGCCAUGUGACAUAUGUUGGAUUUCUCCUCUUGAUUAGGAUCCUCAUCACUUGAGCUUUCUGAAUCUGAGUUCUCCCAAGCAAUGUAUGCUCCUUUUCUUUUCAUAUUUCUACCUUGAGCGAAUACUUUCUUGUCUUUUUGCUUCGACUGUAAGUCAGGGCAAUCAAGCUUGAUGUGACCUUCCUUUCCAAGUUCAUAGCACUGGACAGUGUUUGUACUGAAGUUUUUCUUUUUGUUUUGACCUGCAUGGUUAGAAAAUUGACUAUCAUUUUUCAUAAGUCGACUAAACUUUCUUACCAUCAAGGUCAUCAAUUCUUUUUUAUCCAUGUUUGUUUCUGAGAUGUUCUUGCUUGAGGCUUUCAGAGCAAUGGACUUCUUUUCUUUAAUCUCCUCUUCAUCCUUUAAUCUACCAAGUUCCAACUCAUGUUCGCGUAGCUUGCCAAACAAGGUAGCCAUGUUCAUCGUUGUAAGAUCCUUGGAUUAAGAGAUUGUUGUGACUUUUGGUUGCCAACUCCUAUUCAGACUUUUCAAAAUCUUGAUGUUGAUCUCCUCCUUAUCAAACACCUUACCGAGAGCCAUUAGAUGAUUUACAAUAUGAGUGAAUCGUUUCUGUACAUCAUAAAUGUUUUCUCCAGCUUUCAUUCUAAACAAUUCAUACUCUUGUAUGAGGGAGUUCUUUCUAGCUCUCUUGACUCAUCCGUGCCUUCAUGAGUUACCUCUAAGAUAUCCCACAUUUCCUUUGCAGAUUUGCAUUGAGAUAUCUUGAAAAAUUCAUCAAUUGUCAGUGCAGAGGAAAUUAUAUUUCUAGCUUUAACAUUAUACUGAGAUUUUCUAUUUUCAUCAGCAAUCCACUCAGUAAAAGGUGUUGUAGGCACAAAUGGACCAUUUAACGUGGCAUUUAAAAUUCCCUUAUCUUGCAAUUCAAGAAAGGUUUGUAUUCUGAUUUUCCAAAAAGGAUAGUUUUCACCAGCAAACAGAGGUGAUCUGUUUGUUGAAGCACCUUCACCAAAAGUUUGAAAACANNNNNNNNNNNNNNNNNNNNNNNNNNNNNNNNNNNNNNNNNNNNNNNNNNNNNNNNNNNNNNNNNNNNNNNNNNNNNNNNNNNNNNNNNNNNNNNNNNNNNNNNNNNNNNNNNNNNNNNNNNNNNNNNNNNNNNNNNNNNNNNNNNNNNNNNNNNNNNNNNNNNNNNNNNNNNNNNNNNNNNNNNNNNNNNNNNNNNNNNNNNNNNNNNNNNNNNNNNNNNNNNNNNNNNNNNNNNNNNNNNNNNNNNNNNNNNNNNNNNNNNNNNNNNNNNNNNNNNNNNNNNNNNNNNNNNNNNNNNNNNNNNNNNNNGGUGAAUUGGUGUUGUUUCAAAAACAAAAUCUUUUCGUAAUCUUUUAUCUAAAGUAUAAACCUUUUUUAUCUUUCUUGAAAUGCAAGUAACGGAAAUUUCUAUGCAGCGGAAAACGUAGUUGACUACGUAAAAGAUAAAUUCGACUGGAAAUAAAGAGUGCAGGGAUAGAUGUUAAGCCCCUGACAAGUGUACCAGAUCGUUAUCAAGUAAUACAAUUGGUAAACCCAAUAUCGUUCUUCCCAAAGGACUCUUAGGCCUUACUUUUGAUGUAAACAAAUCGCCUAAGACUUGAGAAAAGAAUUAAGUUGGUGUUUGUAUGCAAAGAACAAAUAUAAAUAUGCAAAUGCAGUUGAUUCAAUUGACUUUGAAAAAUUAUGGAUGAAUGGGGUUGUUGGGGUUUACAAUUUCAUCUUAUCCACUCUCAUAUAUCUACUUUUCUUAUUUACUUUACUUAUUUAUCCAAUUUCCAUGCAAACUUUCUAGCCUACCCUUAACCCAAUCCCUUGGUGAAAAUAGCCUAUUAUUAAUUACUGGCUUGCUAUCCCUAGCCUCCCCUAGUAACCAAUAAUGCAAUGUGAUCGGAAGCAAAAUACAAUUGGUCAUCCUACCCCUAUCCCUAGGCGGUAUUAGCAUAAUCAAGGAAUUUCUCACCAGUUCAUGACAUUACCGUAUGUCCCCAUAUCGAUAAAGACAAACAACUUUUAAUGAAUGAGUUAAACAAGUAUAUGAAAAGCAUAUGAAAUAAAUAAGAAUUUGAAUAUAUGAGAGUUUUAAAAGAUUACCUUAACUUUUAAAGAUUACCGUAUGUCCCCAACAACAAAGGGUUUAGUUCACCAUAAUCAUGGUGAAACUAGAUGAAAUAUGAAAGAAUGGAAGAAAUAACCCUAAACUUGGUAGAUUGGAGCCUAAGCAUUCAAGGAACCUCCUCCAAGUUGUGUGGAAUAGCUCUGGACGUUUCUCCCUGCCAAAAGAAUCUCCUUUUUGAUUUGCACUGUGAUGAAGGUUGAAAAACAGUUAUUUUCAAAUGUCAUUUUAGACCAAAUUACACCCUUUACUACUUAGAAUGAGCUCAGAAUCAAGCAAAACUCAAUAAAUGAGUAUGUAGAGAGUCAAAAGUUGUUUUUAGCGAUAUUAUGCUUGUUUUGCAUUCUUUUGUAGCUAUUUUGAGAAAGUGAAGAAUGGAGUUGAAGAUAAAGGUCGUAGACUCAAGAAAAGAGAAAAAAAUUGAAGAUUUGAAGAGUCGACGCACCGCCCGGCGACAACUUACACCGUCGGGCGGUCUAGGGCGAGGAGUAGGCACCUGGCGUUGGCGCUGAGCGGUUUUGAGGGAAACCGUCGGGCGGUAGGCCCUACCGUCGGGCGGUAGUGCGAUUUGUGGGAAACCGCCGGGCGCCACACUUAUACCGUCGGGCGGUUGUCUGUUGGGCUUGGGCCUAUUUUUCUGUUGUGCUUCUUUCUUUGAAUGGAAUGCCCUAAAUGGGUUUCCAUCAAAUCCCCUCUUCUGCAAUCUGAACCCACGUCAAAGAAUCCUCAACGCGUAAAUUCCAGCACUCUUCAAAGGAUCCAAGCCUCAACACUGUAGUCUUCACAGAAUGCCAAGCCUUCACAGAAUGUAGCACACUUCACAAGAUGCCAAGCCUUCAAUGAUCAAUCAAGAAACACCUUCUUUGUGCAGUUUCUGAUCACACAGUAAGCACACAAGCUCUUUCCCUUUGAAUCUCUCUCAAGAAAGAUCACCACCGUCUUCUUGGAGAAUUCUUGGAGCUGUUAAUAGAGAAUUCAAUCAGAAACAAGAAAUGAAAAUGUUAGAGCAUCAAAAGUCUCUAAACAAUUAGUGUUCAGCCUAUUUAUAGUUUUUUGUCAGUCAGAUUGUUUCACAGUAGAAUAGCCUACUAAUUCAGUCGACUGUAUUAUUACAGUUAUAACAGACAAUCAACAUAGAGGCUCUCAAUCAACAAAAAACAAUACACAUUUAAUACAGUUGUCCAAGUCAUCAAUGCUUAACUAACUUUUAAAAAUAUAGCCUUUGGAGCGCUCAAGCAUAAUAGAAUUCCAAAACAGAUCAAAGAUACAGUCGAAUGUACACUGGACAAAGUUGACUGACACAUGUAAAAACACUUUGAAAUUCUUUUCAACUCACAACAUCACUUAGCACUGAUUCUCAAAAUCUGUACAAAGGUUUUAGCAUAGUUGAAUCCAUUAUGAUUGUAGCCAAAUGUACUAUAACUUUGUCAAACAAUUAUAAGUUCACAAACGUGCUUGUGAUUUUUUCACUUUCCAAAAUGUGCAGUAAAAUAUUUUUGAUAAAGUAGUUUGCAUUGCACAUCAGCAUGUAAGCAUUUUCGACAAAUAUAUCACACAAUCAACUUAGGAACAUACACCACAGUACAUCAAAACAUGUUCAGUAGAUAUAACAAUCAGUACAGUAUAAGAACAUGUGAUAAGCUGUCGUUGAAGCUAUCAAAUUAAUACUACUUUUCAAGGCAACUUCAGUAUUACCUAGUAGUAUUCAAGAAAGUAGAUAGGGCUAAAGUAACCCUAAGUCGUCUCCCAACGAACACGGUAUUCCUUUCGAAUAUCUGAAACUUAUGAAUGCUAUGCAAUGCUUAAGAACAAAAGUGAGGAUGUUUAAAGGUUGUUGUAAAACAAAUAGAAAACUUAAAAACAAUUAUGAAGAAAUAGGCUAAUUCCACUGCUUUUCCAAAAUAGAUUCAUCAUCGGUUAUUCACAUAUCAUUGUUCAAUUGAUUAUUGUUUAAGUUUCAAAUUAGUUAAAGUACAUUCUUAAUUAAUUUGAGGGCGAUCAUGUAGUUAAUCAAAGUACAUUCUCAAUCAAA
Molecule: long non-coding RNA, 17640 nt
Filed under: Vigna radiata
Lineage: Eukaryota; Viridiplantae; Streptophyta; Magnoliopsida; Fabales; Fabaceae
Description: long non-coding RNA (VRAD_LNC014907)
Source: RNAcentral